UCCUGGCUCAGAUUGAACGCUGGCGGCAGGCUUAACACAUGCAAGUCGAGCGGAAACGAUGGUAGCUUGCUACCAGGCGUCGAGCGGCGGACGGGUGAGUAAUACUUAGGAAUCUACCUAGUAGUGGGGGAUAGCACGGGGAAACUCGUAUUAAUACCGCAUACGACCUACGGGAGAAAGGGGGCAGUUUACUGCUCUCGCUAUUAGAUGAGCCUAAGUCGGAUUAGCUAGAUGGUGGGGUAAAGGCCUACCAUGGCGACGAUCUGUAGCUGGUCUGAGAGGAUGAUCAGCCACACCGGGACUGAGACACGGCCCGGACUCCUACGGGAGGCAGCAGUGGGGAAUAUUGGACAAUGGGGGAAACCCUGAUCCAGCCAUGCCGCGUGUGUGAAGAAGGCCUUUUGGUUGUAAAGCACUUUAAGCAGUGAAGAAGACUCUUCGGUUAAUACCCGGAGACGAUGACAUUAGCUGCAGAAUAAGCACCGGCUAACUCUGUGCCAGCAGCCGCGGUAAU
RNAcentral lists this ribosomal RNA (514 nucleotides) under uncultured bacterium. RNAcentral describes it as "bacterial SSU rRNA". It matches the Rfam family "Bacterial small subunit ribosomal RNA", at positions 17 to 524 of the family's 1533-position model. The record is from RNAcentral.